RNAcentral lists this ribosomal RNA (365 nucleotides) under Bacillus subtilis. RNAcentral's name for it is "bacterial SSU rRNA". It matches the Rfam family "Bacterial small subunit ribosomal RNA", at positions 1024 to 1390 of the family's 1533-position model. The record is from RNAcentral. Lineage: Bacteria; Bacillati; Bacillota; Bacilli; Caryophanales; Bacillaceae.
GGACAGAGUGACAGGUGGUGCAUGGUUGUCGUCAGCUCGUGUCGUGAGAUGUUGGGUUAAGUCCCGCAACGAGCGCAACCCUUGAUCUUAGUUGCCAGCAUUCAUUUGGGCACUCUAAGGUGACUGCCGGUGACAAACCGGAGGAAGGUGGGGAUGACGUCAAAUCAUCAUGCCCCUUAUGACCUGGGCUACACACGUGCUACAAUGGACAGAACAAAGGGCUGCAAGACCGCAAGGUUUAGCCAAUCCCAUAAAUCUGUUCUCAGUUCGGAUCGCAGUCUGCAACUCGACUGCGUGAAGCUGGAAUCGCUAGUAAUCGCGGAUCAGCAUGCCGCGGUGAAUACGUUCCCGGGCCUUGUACACAC